This 753-nucleotide long non-coding RNA is filed under the name Androctonus crassicauda. The record is from RNAcentral. Lineage: Eukaryota; Metazoa; Arthropoda; Arachnida; Scorpiones; Buthidae.
GAAAAGAAUAUCUUACACACAUAAAGUGGAACACUCAUCUUUUGAAUGGGAUAAGAUACACAGUCACAUUCUUAAGAUAGUUUAGGAUCAUAUGGUUUCAGAUUUAGCUUCUUUAAACCAUUCACUAUUGUUUUUCUCAGUAUAAAGGGAUGGAGAGAUGAAUUUGAGUGCAGUAUCAAGAAUGGACUGGAUUAUAUAUAGUCGGUUCUAAAAUAUCUAUUGGUAUAGGGGCAGGAGUUUAUUAAGAGGAAGCAAAGGUGUCUUACUCUUAUUUCUUUGAAUAAUUUGCCACUGUUUUUCAGCCAAAAAUCUGUUAUUUCUAUAUGUAUCAAAAUCAAUCUUCAUAGAAGAUAUGUUAAAUAUAUUCACAACCUCUCAGGUAGUCAAGCUGCUUUAAAAACAGUUGAUAGCUUCUUCGCCUUGAAGUUUAUAUAGGCAUGUUAUUAUCUCAUUAUGGAACUGGUUAGCAGAAAUAGGGUUAAACUUAUUUGGGUACCAGGAUAUAAAGAAAUUGGAGGCAGUGAAGUUGUAAUUGGGCUGUUCAAGGAAGAGACUUAUCCCUUUAUUGGAUCUAAGUCUGUCCUGGAUAUCAAAUCUGAUGUAUUUGGAGAGGUUGUCAGGAACUAUAGUCUGUUCCAUUUUGAGAAAGCAAUGAUGUCACAAAAUGAUGUUGUCUGGUGGCAUAGCACACAAUUGUGUGUCCUUCUGCCAUUAAAUAUCAAUCUUGAUAUCAAAGUAUAAAUAGCAUAUUUU